UCCCUGGUGGAUUAGUGGCUAGCAUGCAGUGCUCUCACCGCCAGGGUCCAGAUUUGAUUCCUGGUCAGGUAA
Non-coding RNA from Pangasius djambal, 72 nucleotides. Lineage: Eukaryota; Metazoa; Chordata; Actinopteri; Siluriformes; Pangasiidae. The record is from the annotation of a GenBank genome assembly.